GUGAGGAAUAUUGGUCAAUGGACGCGAGUCUGAACCAGCCAAGUAGCGUGAAGGAUGACUGCCCUAUGGGUUGUAAACUUCUUUUAUAAGGGAAUAAAGUGAGGGACGUGUCCCUUUUUGUAUGUACCUUAUGAAUAAGGAUCGGCUAACUCCGUGCCAGCAGCCGCGGUAAUACGGAGGAUCCAAGCGUUAUCCGGAUUUAUUGGGUUUAAAGGGAGCGUAGGUUGACAUAUAUGUCAGCUGUGAAAGUUUACGGCUCAACCGUGAAAUUGCAGUUGAUACUGUAUGUCUUGAGUGUACAAGAGGUGGGCGGAAUUCGUGGUGUAGCGGUGAAAUGCUUAGAUAUCACGAAGAACUCCAAUUGCGAAGGCAGCUCACUGGGGUACAACUGACACUGAGGCUCGAAAGUGUGGGUAUCAAACAGGAUUAGAAACCCCGGUAGUCC
This 445-nucleotide ribosomal RNA is filed under the name uncultured bacterium. RNAcentral describes it as "partial 16S ribosomal RNA". It matches the Rfam family "Bacterial small subunit ribosomal RNA", at positions 354 to 796 of the family's 1533-position model. The record is from RNAcentral.